Molecule: ribosomal RNA, 460 nt
Filed under: uncultured bacterium
Lineage: Bacteria
Description: partial 16S ribosomal RNA
Rfam family: Bacterial small subunit ribosomal RNA
Source: RNAcentral
CCUACGGGCGACUGCAGUGAGGAAUAUUGGUCAAUGGACGAGAGUCUGAACCAGCCAAGUAGCGUGAAGGAUGACUGCCCUAUGGGUUGUAAACUUCUUUUAUAUGGGAAUAAAAUGUUCCACGUGUGGGAUUUUGUAUGUACCAUAUGAAUAAGGAUCGGCAAACUCCGUGCCAGCAGCCGCGGUAAUACGGAGGAUCCGAGCGUUAUCCGGAUUUAUUGGGUUUAAAGGGAGCGUAGGUGGAUUGUUAAGUCAGUUGUGAAAGUUUGUGGCUCAACCGUAAAAUUGCAGUUGAAACUGGCAGUCUUGAGUACAGUAGAGGUGGGCGGAAUUCGUGGUGUAGCGGUGAAAUGCUUAGAUAUCACGAAGAACUCCGAUUGCGAAGGCAGUUCACUGGACUGCAACUGACACUGAGGCUCGAAAGUGUGGGUAUCAAACAGGAUUAGAUACCCUGGUAGUC